RNAcentral lists this ribosomal RNA (253 nucleotides) under uncultured bacterium. RNAcentral describes it as "partial 16S ribosomal RNA". It matches the Rfam family "Bacterial small subunit ribosomal RNA", at positions 524 to 776 of the family's 1533-position model. The record is from RNAcentral.
UACGUAGGUGGCAAGCGUUACUCGGAAUUACUAGGCGUAAAGCGCAGGUAGGAGGUUUGGUAAGUCUGUUGUGAAAGCUCCCGGCUUAACUGGGAGAGGUCAACGGAAACUACUGAGCUAGAGUGUGGUAGAGGAAGCUGGAAUUCCCGGUGUAGCGGUGAAAUGCGUAGAUAUCGGGAGGAAUACCUAUGGCGAAAGCAGGCUUCUGGACCGUCACUGACUCUGAUCUGCGAAAGCUAGGGGAGCAAACAGG